This 599-nucleotide ribosomal RNA is filed under the name uncultured Ottowia sp. Its description in RNAcentral is "bacterial SSU rRNA". It matches the Rfam family "Bacterial small subunit ribosomal RNA", at positions 917 to 1519 of the family's 1533-position model. The record is from RNAcentral. Lineage: Bacteria; Pseudomonadati; Pseudomonadota; Betaproteobacteria; Burkholderiales; Comamonadaceae.
GGACCCGCACAAGCGGUGGAUGAUGUGGUUUAAUUCGAUGCAACGCGAAAAACCUUACCCACCUUUGACAUGUACGGAAUCCUGCAGAGAUAGCGGGAGUGCUCGAAAGAGAGCCGUAACACAGGUGCUGCAUGGCUGUCGUCAGCUCGUGUCGUGAGAUGUUGGGUUAAGUCCCGCAACGAGCGCAACCCUUGCCAUUAGUUGCUACGAAAGGGCACUCUAAUGGGACUGCCGGUGACAAACCGGAGGAAGGUGGGGAUGACGUCAAGUCCUCAUGGCCCUUAUAGGUGGGGCUACACACGUCAUACAAUGGCUGGUACAAAGGGUUGCCAACCCGCGAGGGGGAGCCAAUCCCACAAAGCCAGUCGUAGUCCGGAUCGCAGUCUGCAACUCGACUGCGUGAAGUCGGAAUCGCUAGUAAUCGUGGAUCAGAAUGUCACGGUGAAUACGUUCCCGGGUCUUGUACACACCGCCCGUCACACCAUGGGAGCGGGUUCUGCCAGAAGUAGGUAGCCUAACCGCAAGGAGGGCGCUUACCACGGCAGGGUUCGUGACUGGGGUGAAGUCGUAACAAGGUAGCCGUAUCGGAAGGUGCGGCU